Molecule: ribosomal RNA, 574 nt
Filed under: Triticum aestivum (bread wheat)
Lineage: Eukaryota; Viridiplantae; Streptophyta; Magnoliopsida; Poales; Poaceae
Description: partial small subunit ribosomal RNA
Source: RNAcentral
AUCCAGUCCGGAGCCUGCACCUCCUAUCAUCAUCUCAGACCGUUUGGGCCUUCGGAACAAACUAUAGACCAACUGCUUCAUUAGGAGUAGUUAGAGGUUCUCGAACCGAUAACUAGCGUUCUGUUACAGAGAAUCAAAGAACCAAAAACUACGCAUGAGUAAAUCGUGUAGGGACAUCUUUCUAAGAUCUUAUCACAACACUUUAUUUUCUAAAACCAGAGAAAUAAUUCAAAGAUACUUAACAGAGACUUAUAGAAAAAAAAAGAAAAACUUUUCUCCCAUUAGUGGGGUCUGAGACUUAUAGAAUGUUUCUUUCAUUAAUUAGUUAUUUAAGUGCUUUGUUGUAGCUCUUUUGAUGCAGUAAUUAUCUUCAAGAGUUUUCAGAUGUAAGUGUUUCCUUUCAACACAGUUUUAAUCAAUUGAAAGUCGGAAUGAAUUAAUAUCCUUUACUAUACCAUUAUGCCCGGGUGAUCGUUCUCUACGCGUUUACGAUGCUCUGUUAAUUGAUGGAUGGGUCUCACGUCAAAUGUGACUAUUAAAAGACUUCAAGAGUGAGACGGAAGGAAACGUUGAU